This 1346-nucleotide ribosomal RNA is filed under the name Shigella sonnei. RNAcentral's name for it is "bacterial LSU rRNA". It matches the Rfam family "Bacterial large subunit ribosomal RNA", at positions 1603 to 2925 of the family's 2925-position model. The record is from RNAcentral. Lineage: Bacteria; Pseudomonadati; Pseudomonadota; Gammaproteobacteria; Enterobacterales; Enterobacteriaceae.
UGCUUCCAGGAAAAGCCUCUAAGCAUCAGGUAACAUCAAAUCGUACCCCAAACCGACACAGGUGGUCAGGUAGAGAAUACCAAGGCGCUUGAGAGAACUCGGGUGAAGGAACUAGGCAAAAUGGUGCCGUAACUUCGGGAGAAGGCACGCUGAUAUGUAGGUGAAGUCCCUCGCGGAUGGAGCUGAAAUCAGUCGAAGAUACCAGCUGGCUGCAACUGUUUAUUAAAAACACAGCACUGUGCAAACACGAAAGUGGACGUAUACGGUGUGACGCCUGCCCGGUGCCGGAAGGUUAAUUGAUGGGGUCAGCGCAAGCGAAGCUCUUGAUCGAAGCCCCGGUAAACGGCGGCCGUAACUAUAACGGUCCUAAGGUAGCGAAAUUCCUUGUCGGGUAAGUUCCGACCUGCACGAAUGGCGUAAUGAUGGCCAGGCUGUCUCCACCCGAGACUCAGUGAAAUUGAACUCGCUGUGAAGAUGCAGUGUACCCGCGGCAAGACGGAAAGACCCCGUGAACCUUUACUAUAGCUUGACACUGAACAUUGAGCCUUGAUGUGUAGGAUAGGUGGGAGGCUUUGAAGUGUGGACGCCAGUCUGCAUGGAGUCGACCUUGAAAUACCACCCUUUAAUGUUUGAUGUUCUAACGUGGACCCGUGAUCCGGGUUGCGGACAGUGUCUGGUGGGUAGUUUGACUGGGGCGGUCUCCUCCUAAAGAGUAACGGAGGAGCACGAAGGUUGGCUAAUCCUGGUCGGACAUCAGGAGGUUAGUGCAAUGGCAUAAGCCAGCUUGACUGCGAGCGUGACGGCGCGAGCAGGUGCGAAAGCAGGUCAUAGUGAUCCGGUGGUUCUGAAUGGAAGGGCCAUCGCUCAACGGAUAAAAGGUACUCCGGGGAUAACAGGCUGAUACCGCCCAAGAGUUCAUAUCGACGGCGGUGUUUGGCACCUCGAUGUCGGCUCAUCACAUCCUGGGGCUGAAGUAGGUCCCAAGGGUAUGGCUGUUCGCCAUUUAAAGUGGUACGCGAGCUGGGUUUAGAACGUCGUGAGACAGUUCGGUCCCUAUCUGCCGUGGGCGCUGGAGAACUGAGGGGGGCUGCUCCUAGUACGAGAGGACCGGAGUGGACGCAUCACUGGUGUUCGGGUUGUCAUGCCAAUGGCACUGCCCGGUAGCUAAAUGCGGAAGAGAUAAGUGCUGAAAGCAUCUAAGCACGAAACUUGCCCCGAGAUGAGUUCUCCCUGACCCUUUAAGGGUCCUGAAGGAACGUUGAAGACGACGACGUUGAUAGGCCGGGUGUGUAAGCGCAGCGAUGCGUUGAGCUAACCGGUACUAAUGAACCGUGAGGCUUAACCUU